RNAcentral lists this long non-coding RNA (642 nucleotides) under Callithrix jacchus (white-tufted-ear marmoset). Its description in RNAcentral is "lncRNA (ENSCJAG00000083869.1)". The record is from RNAcentral. Lineage: Eukaryota; Metazoa; Chordata; Mammalia; Primates; Cebidae.
AACAGCUUUUCCCAAGGUAACCUGGUUCCCAGAUCUAAUACCUGGUUGAUAUGGCAACAUUGGUGCCUGUUCCCUUUCAAGGCAGGACAUCUCAAUAGGGACAUCUCAAUAGGGACAUCUCAAUUUGAGUUCCCUGCGUGAGCAGCUGAGGCCUCUGUUGCAACCAUCACAGUUCAACAUCUUCCUCUGUCUCUCUUACUCUCUAAUAGAUUGCUGUUCCCAACUGCAGUCUCCAGUAUACCUUCUGUCUGUCAAGUCCCAUCUUAGAAUUGGCUUCCUGGGGAACCAAUGAAAUAGUCAAAUGUUCAGACUACAAAGUCCUUGAGGUAAACCAGAAUCUUCUUCCCUAAGAUUAGUUGUCAGCUCAGAAAGGAAGGAAAGAAGAGGACCCCCUCCUCCCACCCCCACUGAGGACAGUGCUGGAGUGGGUUGGCCAGACAUUCCAGAGAAAAUUGUGAAAUCCAGCAGGAAUCCAGCCAGGCUAGAUCCUGGUCUGCUGCUGGAAUAUGUCAUUUAAUAUAUAAAACCCAGUGGUGAAAUACUGGCUGCCUCCAGAUACAGCGCUGGGUUUAAAUAUAUUAAAUGAUGCCAAAGAAAGAAUCCAUGCCAAGUUUCUCUGAGCCUCACUCAGUCAUUCCUGCA